This 253-nucleotide ribosomal RNA is filed under the name Solirubrobacter sp. RNAcentral's name for it is "partial 16S ribosomal RNA". It matches the Rfam family "Bacterial small subunit ribosomal RNA", at positions 524 to 776 of the family's 1533-position model. The record is from RNAcentral. Lineage: Bacteria; Bacillati; Actinomycetota; Thermoleophilia; Solirubrobacterales; Solirubrobacteraceae. RNAcentral also lists the same sequence under 1 other name.
UACGUAGGGGGCAAGCGUUGUCCGGAAUCAUUGGGCGUAAAGCGCGUGUAGGCGGCCCGGUAAGUCCGCUGUGAAAGUCGGGGGCUCAACCCUCGAAUGCCGGUGGAUACUGUCGGGCUAGAGUGCGGAAGAGGCGAGUGGAAUUCCUGGUGUAGCGGUGAAAUGCGCAGAUAUCAGGAGGAACACCAAUUGCGAAGGCAGCUCGCUGGGACGUGACUGACGCUGAGACGCGAAAGCGUGGGGAGCAAACAGG